GUCUUUUAUAAUCUUACAUAUUUAAAUUUAUAAAAAUAAUAUCAAUUUUUAUUAAUUUAAGCAAUGUAAUACACAUGUUCUAACCUUAAGGAUCUAACAUAGCCACAUAGGUGAGUAUGAUCAUAUGGUUAUUAUCGUAAAUUUAUCAGGGAGGAUGUGACACCUUGCGGGUACCCUUCCACGGGUUGCAACCCGGGCCAACACACCGCCAUCACCAAUGCGGGUUGGUUGGGCCAGCUCCUAAAUCCGCUUGACAUUCGCGUUAAUCGAGGAAUUUUUGACCGUUGGCACUUGUUUUGACCGCUUGGUCAUUUAAAAAAAAUAUAUAUUCAACUCAAAUACUUUAUUCCAUUCUCUAUUUAAAAUCAUCCAUACCACACAACCAAACCACAAAAUUCUCUCCAUUCAAAUUCUCUCCCUUCUUUAUAUUCACAUUCGCGUUCAUCCGUUACCAAAUUUCUAGUUUCCAUGUCAUGUUCUUGAAUGUGCCAAACACAGCUUCAAUGAGGACUUUAACCACGUAGCGGCGUCGCGCAUUCUUGCGACCUCUGUUUAAGUUUAAAAUUUUUAAGUUUUAUGUUUUAAGUUUAUGUAAUGUUUUAAAUUUUAAAUAUAUGAAAUGUUUUAAGCUAUUUAAUCUUAAAAUUAAUAUUUAAUUUUGCGAAUAUAAAUAAAAAAGUAAAAAUUACAAGUUUUUUCCUUUAUCUUUAUACCACUUUUCAGGCGGUGUCCUUUUUAACGAAUGUUGACAGGCGGUGUAAGGUGAGGGUGUACAACGAAAUUAAAGGGGUGUUUGUGAUUCCUUCUAAAAAAAAAUAUUAACUUAUAUAAGUCUUAAGUCACAAAUACUAAUUAUUAUAGACAAGUCAUAACUUAGGGGAGUGGGGGUGGUCACUAGUGAUAGAAUUCUAUCACUAUCAAUAUCCAAUCAACUCAUGCCAUGUCAUCAUCCUCUAUUCUAUCACUAGUGAUAGAAAUGUAGUGGGGGUGGUCACUAGUGAUAGAAUUUCAUCACUCAAAAUUUUUUUAAUUUUUUAUUUUAAAUUAGAAAUUAACAAUAAAACACUAAAAUUAUAAAUUUCAUUAAAAUUAAAACAUACUACUUCAAUUUAACAUACUAGAAAUAAUUUAGACUACAAUGUAAAAAAAAAAACUACUCCUCGUCCGACUCAUGAAACUCCAAACCUAGAGAACCUACUAGUUCGAUUAAAUUGUAUCUCAACCGAAAGUGAGUUUCUUCAUUCCGCAACUCAUGCCAUGUCAUCGGAAACGUCGAAUCCGUAGGGAACUCCAUUUGAUAAAGAUGUAGAUUGUGUGAAAUGGGUUUAAAAUGGUUUAAAGAUGUAGAUUGGUGUGUGUAAAAUGGUUUAAAAUGGAGAUAUAAAUAGAUAAAGGGUUUAAAGGUUUUUUUUAUUGAAUAUUACCGUUAUUCAACGGUCAAAAACAAGCAACGUUCGAAUUUUUUCAACUUUUCAACGCGUUUCAAAUUUAACGCGUGAUAUAUAUAGUGGUGGCGGUGUUCGUGGUGGUUUAACGCGUGACGGGGGAUUCAUCACGGACCGCCCCACCUCCCCUUACAAAUACUAAUUAUCAUUUUUAACUUCUCAACACACAAAAGUAAUUUAAAUAAGCGAACCCAAACGCUAUAAAAACAAAUUAUUAACUCUUAAUAAGUUCGAGUUUUUUCCUAAAAGGGUGUUGGUGGAAAACUUAUUUACCAAAAUGGGUGAUUUGAAAAGUAUUUACUAAAAUAGGUGUUUUUUUGAAAAAAAAAAAACUACUUUUUCUCACUCCUUAUUUUAUAGGAUAAAAGCAAUUUCUAUUUUAAAAUAUUCUUAUAAGAAGAAAUUAUAGUAAAAUUAAAAAUGGAUUUUUUAACAUUUCUUUAACUUUAAAAAAAUCUUUAAUAGAAACACUUUUAUUUUUUCAUGAGUACUUUUUUAUUUUUUUUUAAAGUAUUUCCAUAAACGUUUUUGUUUUUAACUAAUAUAAUAAAGUAAGCUAAACCAUAUUUGUGGAAAGGUGUAUUGUGAAACCUAAUUUAAUUAUCAAUUAGAGAUCAAUGUAAUAUAAUGUUAUAAAGUAUUUUACCAAUUAUGUGGGUUGGAUGGUAAAUAAAUUCUAUAGAAGUAUGAUUUUAUGAUAAUUUGACGAAUUAUGUUUCAUAUACAUAUUAAGCAAAUAACACAAAACUUUUAUAUAAUGAUGUUUAAGUUCUACACGUAUGACAUUGGAUGAAGUUACAAUUAGGUGAUAUUUGAUUCAAUCAGUUUUCUUAGAACCUAAAAAAUCUAACCAGAUUAUUAUUAAAAAGU
Molecule: long non-coding RNA, 2315 nt
Filed under: Helianthus annuus (common sunflower)
Lineage: Eukaryota; Viridiplantae; Streptophyta; Magnoliopsida; Asterales; Asteraceae
Description: hypothetical non coding rna
Source: RNAcentral